CCUGUAGUCCCAGCUACUCGGGGCUGAGGCAGGAGAAUGGCGUGAACCCGGGAGGCGGAGCUUGCAGUGAGCCGAGAUCCCGCCGCUGCAUUACGGCCUGGCCGAGAGAGCGAGACUCCGUCUAAAAAAAAAAAAAAAAAAAGUGAAGAUAUUGCCACAGGUCUCAGGCUGGAGUGCAGCGGCAGGAUCUCGACUCACUGCAAGCUCCGCCUACCAGAUUCACGCCAUUCUCCUGCCUCAGACCCCGGAGUAGCCGGGACUACAGGCGCCUGUGCAAUCUCUAUGGUAACCACAUUUCCCAGUUGACUACUACCGGUAAUAAAAUCAAAUGGAUUCAGUGCUCACAACUCUUCAGUCUUUGGGCUACUUUCCAUUCUUGAAUUUUUAGCUGAAUUCAUCUCUUUGGCUGGAUUUUGUGAAUCGGGCAGCCAUUAGAACCAAAACAGUUCUGAGGAGCUCCCAGGCUGCAAUGUGGUGCGAAAUGUUUUAUGGACAGAAAAUGGAAAUGAGGUGCAGAAAUUGGAGAUGAAAUUUCAGUCUUUAUUCAAGAUCAAGUGCAACUGUCUCUUUGAGGAAAGUCCUUUGACCGCCAUUUCUCCCCUUCAGAAGGCAAACACCUGGGGGAGAAGAUCUGCUUAAGGACCUGGUAACUGACAAAGAAUGGAAUGGGAGCGAGAACCGCCUAGCCAUCCCUUCUCCUUGCACAGUCAUGAAACAAAAGUUGAAAAGGAGCCUGGUUUUACUUGACCAGUCAUAAAUUACCAUAAAAUAAAAUGAGAUAUUAGGAACCUU
Molecule: long non-coding RNA, 792 nt
Filed under: Homo sapiens (human)
Lineage: Eukaryota; Metazoa; Chordata; Mammalia; Primates; Hominidae
Description: HSALNT0346045
Source: RNAcentral